UCUCCGUUGGUGAACCAGCGGAGGGAUCAUUACCGAGUUUACAACUCCCAAACCCAAUGUGAACCAUACCAAACUGUUGCCUCGGCGGGGUCACGCCCCGGGUGCGUCGCAGCCCCGGAACCAGGCGCCCGCCGGAGGGACCAACCAAACUCUUUCUGUAGUCCCCUCGCGGACGUUAUUUUUACAGCUCUGAGCAAAAAUUCAAAAUGAAUCAAAACUUUCAACAACGGAUCUCUAGGUUCUG
This 244-nucleotide unclassified non-coding RNA is filed under the name plant metagenome. RNAcentral's name for it is "partial contains small subunit ribosomal RNA, internal transcribed spacer 1, and 5.8S ribosomal RNA". The record is from RNAcentral.